CGCGUAGGCGGAUUUUUAAGUUGGGGGUGAAAUGCCGAGGCUCAACCUCGGAACUGCCUUCAAAACUGGGAGUCUUGAGGUAUGGAGAGGGAAGUGGAAUUCCAGGUGUAGCGGUGAAAUGCGUAGAUAUCUGGAGGAACACCCGUGGCGAAGGCGGCUUCCUGGCCAUAUCCUGACGCUGAGGUGCGAAAGCUAGGGGAGCGAACG
RNAcentral lists this ribosomal RNA (207 nucleotides) under uncultured Armatimonadota bacterium. RNAcentral describes it as "uncultured Armatimonadetes bacterium partial 16S ribosomal RNA". It matches the Rfam family "Bacterial small subunit ribosomal RNA", at positions 568 to 774 of the family's 1533-position model. The record is from RNAcentral. Lineage: Bacteria; Bacillati; Armatimonadota.